CUUGCCUUCGGCAUCAGGGAGCGUAAUCGUGAAAAGUGGAAUAGCGAACAGGGAAGCCGACCGCGCGCGUUGGUGCCCUGGCCGUUGCGCAGACGCCGAGCGUGCGUGUGGGGCCUGUGAUCGUAACUGGAGCAGCAAGGGCGUUUGCGCACGAACACGCAUUACACCGACGACCUGUAUUUUGCCUGUGGUCUUCCCUCCUUGCUCGCUGCCUCCCUUUCUCGUUCGUUUUGUUGCAUCCCCGCUUUCCGGGGCGUCGUUUCUUCUUUUUCGAUCUUGACUGGACAACGAUGCUUCGCCCAACGUGCCCCGUUGCCAAGAACCUGACGUCGUUCGCGACGAAGGGCACGAUGCGUGGCGGCAUCCCUCGCAUUUACUAUACCUGGAUGAAGCCUGGAAGUGCCACGCGCCGCCGCUUUGAGAAGAUGCGCAACCCGUUCGUCAACCUCGAGACCGGCACCUCGCUCUACUUCCGCGACACCCGCGACUCUGCUGAGGCUGUAGCGCACGCCGCGGACAGCAAAGGGCUGAAGGGCAUGGACAACGGCAUUGACCUGUAUAACGAGUACAAGAUCGUGCCGGACCUCUACCCGGAGGGCUUUCAAUGGAAGCACAAGCUGAAUACGGAGUACAAUCAGUGGCGCUCCAACACCUGGCUGACACCGGAGCUCAUUCCGCAAGAACACCGCGGGCGGUUUCUUUGCAACUUCCAGCUCAACAUCGUCGCAUAUGAUAUGCGGGUGGUGAAGUUUAGCCCGAAAGACCAUCGUCAGUGGAUUUACUGUGUCUUGUACGUGGGCACCGGCAAGGGCAUCGCGGGCUUUGGACGCGCGGUGGCGCCGAGCACGCAGGAGGCCCGCAACGAGGCGAUUCGCGAGGCUUUCUCGAACAUCAUUGCCGUGGACUUGGAGCAAGAGGGCCCCAUGUACCCUGUCCGCAUCAACGCCGAUGGUGCGCGAGUGCUGCUCUACCCGGCACGGCGUAUCAUAGCGAACUUCCGCGUAGCAGACAUCCUCUGUGCCUUUGGCUUCCAGAACGCUGGAUGCAAGAUUAACCUGAAGGCGUCCAACAACCCCAAGGCGCCGACGCACACCGUUGAAGGCGUUUUCGAGGCUGUGAAGGCUUUGCGUAGCGUCAGCGAGAUUGCGGCGAGUCGCGGAAAGGUGCCGCACAGCCUCGUGUACAAUAUAUACCCGUACCUCGAAGAGAUGCGUCGUCGCAAGGGUAUGAUGGCGAUGCACCCACCAGGCAAGGACGGCAUCUUCAUGCCGAACCGCGUCGUGGACAACCGCAUGCCAGACCAUCUCAAAAAAGGCUACUAUGACGACGUCUACUGGAAGGACUUCUUCGCCGGCAGCAAGGAGCAGCUGAAUGAGCCGAAGAUGGGCCUGCGCGGUGAUGAGCUGCGAGCGCAGCUGGAGGAGUCGCAGGGGCGUGCCGCGAAGCGGUCGAAUCGACGCACUUUGGACGACGUUCUCCGGCGGCUGGGUAAGACGCCAAGGGAUCUCGGCGCGCUGCAGGUGGUGAACCCGCGCCUCGAUGCGAAGCUCCCAACGCACGUGAAGCGCAACUAUCUUCUCCACUGAAGACUACUGAGACCGGAAGAAAAAAAAGGUCAAGUGAGAUGGGCCGCGGUGAGGCUGGGUGGGAGAACCGCUGCGCGCGCUGCUGGGGUCACGCCGGCGCAGCGCGUUUUUCUUUUUGUUGUUCGGAAGAGCGAUGUUGGACUGAAUCUCCGGCAGGAUGAUGUUUGCCGCGGUGUGACGCUCUCCAUACCAGGGAGCGGAGGCCUCGUUCACGAAGGGUGACCACAACCUCAACACGUAGAC
This 1829-nucleotide unclassified non-coding RNA is filed under the name Leishmania donovani. RNAcentral's name for it is "gene:LdHU3.36.2530(CDS-product:Ribosomal_protein_ S5_C-inal_domain_containing_protein_putative)". Lineage: Eukaryota; Euglenozoa; Kinetoplastea; Trypanosomatida; Trypanosomatidae. The record is from RNAcentral.